GUCUCCAAUUUCCCAGAAGGACCGAACAACACAUUUUCACUCUGUGGACUAUAUUUUCAUUGGUGAACAAACCAUUAAACCAGUGCAUUGUGUCUCCAACAGAAAACAUCCCUCAACUUUAAUUUAUCUAACGCAUUCAAUUCAAUUGUCUUAUUCCAAUCCUUUCCCACACACCCUGCCUAGUGCCUAGCUAUUGUGCUCUCAACUUUCUUCACAUCAACAUAUCAAGCUUCUUCAUAGAUCUAGAUUCUAGACUACUCGUCACUGAUGGCUCCACAAGGCAGAAUCUACCCACUACAUGGAAUCCAAAGUUUCUAUUACUGUAGCUUUCUUUUUUUUUUUUCCCUCAUUGUUCUACUUCACAAAUCAGGUAAAAAAGUGCCCCCUUAACCUAUUUAAGUCGUGUGUUAGUUGAUCAUAUGUUUCUAUAUUGAGGAAUAUUACUAUUGAAGUUAGAAAUUCAUAAGCAGCUAGCCCUUGAUGAUUCGGAUGUCUGUGUGUGUUGAGCAUGAAGAUGCAAGUGUGGGGAUAAGUUUUUUCAUAAGUGCAUGAACUGCAGGCCUUGCAUUGCUACUGUGGUCGUUCCUAAUCACAAAAGGAAGUGUUUCAACUUCAAUGGAGACGAUGAUAGCUAUUACCUCCUUUCAUGGAAAUGCAGGAGUGGGGAUAAGUUGUUUCAACCAUAACUACGUACCCUAGCUACAAUUAAGUUCUAACACUAUAUAUGUAUAUCUAUAAUAUACAAGCUAGCUAGGAAAAGCAGAACCCUACUUCGGUUGGAGCUUCAUCUUUAUCCAUUAAUCUAUCAUAUUGUACAUGUUCUUAGCCUUGGGACCUUAUUAUAUAUGCCUCACUCUUAAUUUCUUAUAUCGAUGGCCACGUAAUUACAUUAAUGUGAUAGUUAAUGAGUUAACUUUUUUUAUGCGAUAGCUUUCUUGUGUAUCCUUUUCUAAUUUGAUCACGGAGUAUUGUGAACACCAUGCGUGGUGGAGAUGAUAAUGCAUCAUUCGAGGC
Molecule: long non-coding RNA, 1014 nt
Filed under: Glycine max (soybean)
Lineage: Eukaryota; Viridiplantae; Streptophyta; Magnoliopsida; Fabales; Fabaceae
Description: long non-coding RNA (GMAX_LNC003071)
Source: RNAcentral